Mauremys reevesii (Reeves's turtle) is the source of this 435-nucleotide long non-coding RNA. RefSeq lists it as uncharacterized. The transcript has 3 exons. The record is from RefSeq and is a predicted model, not a curated record. NCBI's taxonomy places the organism in Eukaryota, Metazoa, Chordata, Testudines, Geoemydidae.
GGCAGCAAAAAAACUGGAGCCAGCCCUGUGCAGAGGGCCUUCACGAAGGCUUAAGUGGGAAUUAAUUGAUGCAUGGACUUUGUGCUGGCUCUGAGCACACAGAGGAGAAGCCCAAAUAUAUUUCUGAACCUUCCCUUAUAAAAGUAAUAAUCAGUGGACAUGUUGCAAGAAAACUGUGCUUACGUAAGACAAAACAUUAAAUAAUAGGAACUAUGGUCCUUAGCUUGGAAUUAUCUGGAAUGAAUUUUACUGUAAGCACAAAGAACACUUCUGAUGUCAUCAACCAAAACCGGGGUUCUCCUGUUAUUGCAUGGACAUGGACACAUUUUUAAAGAAUUAUUUUGAAUUUUCCAUCUACAGUCAGCUACAGUCCCAAUUCUCUGAAGGUGCAAAACAGAUCUGUAGCUGCAACUUCAAAUGUGGUGCACUAUUGGA